CCAGCCAUGCCGCGUGCAGUGAUGACGGUCCUAUGGAUUGUAAACUGCUUUUGUACGGGAAGAAACACUCCGACGUGUCGGAGCUUGACGGUACCGUAAGAAUAAGGAUCGGCUAACUCCGUGCCAGCAGCCGCGGUAAUACGGAGGAUCCGAGCGUUAUCCGGAAUCAUUGGGUUUAAAGGGUCCGUAGGCGGUCUGGUAAGUCAGUGGUGAAAGCCCAUCGCUCAACGGUGGAACGGCCAUUGAUACUGCUGGACUUGAAUUACUGGGAAGCAACUAGAAUAUGUAGUGUAGCGGUGAAAUGCUUAGAGAUUACGUGGAAUACCAAUUGCGAAGGCAGGUUGCUACCAGUGGAUUGACGCUGAUGGACGAAAGCGUGGGUAGCGAACAGGAUUACAUACCCUGGUAGUCCACGCCGUAGACGAUGGAUACUAUCUGUUGGGAGCAAUCUCAGUGGCUAACCGAAAGUGAUAAGUAUCCCACCUGGGGAGUACGUUCGCAAGAAUGAAACUCACAGGAAUUGACGGGGGCCCGCACAAGCGGUGGAGCAUGUGGUUUAAUUCGAUGAUACGCGAGGAACCUUACCAAGGCUUAAAUGCAGACUGACCGAUUUGGAAACAGAUCUUUC
RNAcentral lists this ribosomal RNA (628 nucleotides) under Flavobacterium sp. So1Ps_576. RNAcentral's name for it is "bacterial SSU rRNA". It matches the Rfam family "Bacterial small subunit ribosomal RNA", at positions 388 to 1016 of the family's 1533-position model. Lineage: Bacteria; Pseudomonadati; Bacteroidota; Flavobacteriia; Flavobacteriales; Flavobacteriaceae. The record is from RNAcentral.